ACCACUGGUGACAGCUCUUUCUGGGGGCUGGGAAGGACGGCUGGACCGCCGCCCUCUCGGCGCUGCCUCUAAAAGCAAGGAGACUUGGACUGGUUGUGCGUGUGGACUUUUCCAGCUUGAGGAGGAGAUCGAUUUUGCGGAAUGGAGGUGUCGACGCAGGAAGCCGGUCAUGAUCCCUGAAGUGAGAGAGCGGUUUGAAAAUCAGUAUGCGCCCUCCGAUUCCAUUUUGUCCCUCACACGCACGGAAGGAAGCUGGGGAGGAUAGGGGACGGCGUUAUCGACAGCCGCUCUUGCUGAGCAAAGGGAGCUGUGGAUAUUUUCUCCCUGUAUUUUUCGGCGUGUGUGUUUCAUUUCUCGGCAGUGGGCGCGCAUGAUAACAUUAUCGCUGGCGUUAAGAAAGGCGCUUCCAUCGCUCAAACAUCGUUUCCCUGCUUUGAGGUUUGCCUUGUUGCACCUCUGCCCCCCACCCUGCUGCCCACCCCGCAGGCUCCCCGUCGCCGGACAGGUCCUUUUCUCCUUUACGAGUGUGGGAGGGCUGGCCCCCGGCUCCGCAGCCCUGGGAGCCCCCUCCCAGCAGGCACUGGGUCCAGUCCUUUGCGUCCCGGCCCCCCACAAGGUCUCGAGUUGAGGCUCCCCUGUGGCAGGCGGGGUGGGACCCCUAAGGGGAGGCCCCUGGCUUGGGAGUGGUGGGGCAGACCCUGGACGCGCAGCGCUUCCUCUUGGCCUUGGCGAUGGGCCGGACCCUCCCACGCGCCUCCCUGGCGUCCAGCUCUGAAUGGGCCCCAGCCGGGAGCCAGGCGGGCCCCGGGGGUUCCGACGCUGGGGACCAGCUGCAGGAAAGCAGGAGGAGGGAAAUCUGAGGCAGGGGCAUGUGCCGAGCGGCCGGGGCUCAGGUUUAGCCUGAUAAGUUUAUCACGCGGUGCCGGCUGCCAACCGUCGGCUCGGAGCAGGCCAGCGGGCCUGGGCAGGAGCGCGCUCCCAGCCGAUAGCGCCUUCCAAGUGUUAUCAAAGGCCCGGUGGCCCAGGGAGCGGGAGAAGCGGAGCGGGACGGAGGGAGAAAGAGACUUGCAACCAUUUCACCCCAACGACAAGAGCCAGGGAGGGAGAGGGCCCCCGAGGUGCCUUGAGGGGGGGGGGGGGGUCGACAUCCCAGCUACGCCAGCAAACACAGUUAGGAAUUAGCCUCAUGCAGGCUGGACAACCCCACUUCUCCCUCGUCACGGAUGCUGCCGGCGGCCCUUCUGCAAGGCCUCAAGAAAAAGUCUCCUUUUCUGGAAGGUUCUUCACCCCCGAACACGUGAGGGAACCGGGGGGGGGCGGUUAUUUCUCCACCAUUCUUGAGAGUGAGAGUCAGACUCAGUCUAGCCCCCCGAACGCCCAGCCUGGGGACCGGUCACCCCCCUGGAACCACCACUCAGGACUCAAAUGCCUCAUCAUCCCUGCCUCUCGCGAAUGAGGAAACGGGGUCUCAGCUUUUUCUUUCUGCGUUUUCCGUGAAAGAAAAGAGCGGACGGCUGUGCUCCCGAGAGCCCACAUGACAGCCCAGGCCCGUGACCUUCCAGAGGCACGUGCCACAGGCCAGGCACCAUCUAGGCCGGCGGGGAAGCUGACACAAGGCCCGCCCUCAGUGGGGAUGCGGAGGAGAAACAGAACAGGGAGGCUGGGGCAUCAGUCUGGCCCCUGCUUGGCCAGGUAACUUUCAGGCACUGCCCUCUGGGCCUCUGUUUCUCUUGUCUGUAACAACGACACCUGUGGUCUUUAGAACUCUCUAGAUCCCGUCUGCAGGCUCCAGGGUCCCAGAUGUCACGUCAUCAACUCUUGAAUGCCGGGAUAGAGAGCCGGGGGUGGUACCCGGCGGCUUGGGGGGCCUGCGGUGUGCACGGGCGCAGGGCGAGCGUCCGCACGCGGGGCGCGGCUUCAGACGGAGGAGGCCUGGGAAGUGGUUCCUGACACGUUCCUGCGACUUAGGCCUCUGCCGCGAGUGUCUCACACUUACUGAACUCAGAAGUGCAAGCACUUUACAGGAACGAACCCUUCGAGGGAGGCGUCAUCAUCCCUGAGUUCCUGGGGAGGAAACAGAGGCGAGGCCGGAGAGGCGAAGCGACGUGCAGGCACCCCGGCCAUCACCGGGGCCAGCCCUCGGGGACCCCUCUCAGCCCUGAGCCGCCGCUGUGCACAAAUACAGUUGCUGUCCUUGCUGAAGGCUCUGACUUUGGAGCCCGGGCUUCCAGGCUGGCACCCGGGGCCCGGCGUCCUCCCUGCCGUCGCAUGGCGGGCUGACCUGGGCUCGCGGGGCCGCCCCUGCGGACAGCUGGAGCCACAGACACCAGAGCGAAGCUCGGAGCUAUUUCUGCAAAGGGUGACUUGGGACUUCCUCCCAGAUCUCUUAAAAAUAAAGGGGUUAUCGUGGCCCUCAGGCUCCUUCCUCCA
Lynx canadensis (Canada lynx) is the source of this 2430-nucleotide long non-coding RNA. RefSeq lists it as uncharacterized. The record is from RefSeq and is a predicted model, not a curated record. NCBI's taxonomy places the organism in Eukaryota, Metazoa, Chordata, Mammalia, Carnivora, Felidae. The transcript is spliced from 2 exons.